GUACGCUGGCGGCACGCCUAACACAUGCAAGUCGAACGAAGUAGCAAUACUUAGUGGCAGACGGGUGAGUAACAUGUGGGUAUCUUCCCUUUGGCCUGGAAUAACACGAGGAAACUUGUGCUAAUACCAGAUAAGUCUUCACGGAGAAAGCUUUAUGCACCAUUGGAUGAGCCUGCACUUGAUUAGUUUGUUGGUGGGGUAAUGGCCUACCAAGACUUUGAUCAAUAGCUGAUUUGAGAGGAUGAUCAGCCACAUUGGGACUGAGACACGGCCCAAACUCCUACGGGAGGCAGCAGUGGGGAAUCUUGCACAAUGGAGGAAACUCUGAUGCAGCGAUGCCGCGUGAGUGAAGAAGGCCCUUGGGUUGUAAAGCUCUUUCGUCGGGGAAGAAAAUGACUGUACCCGAAUAAGAAGGUCCG
This 419-nucleotide ribosomal RNA is filed under the name uncultured bacterium. Its description in RNAcentral is "bacterial SSU rRNA". It matches the Rfam family "Bacterial small subunit ribosomal RNA", at positions 31 to 495 of the family's 1533-position model. The record is from RNAcentral.